CACAGACACCUCCUCCUCCAGAUGACCAGCAUUGCCUCUGGGUUUGUCACAAGCUGGAACAGGGUCCUUUGGAGGAUGGGGCUCUCUGAAGAAAAAGAGGUGAAGUGUUUGGAUUCAGUCUGAGCCAAAGGCCACUUUAUCUGGGUUUAAGGACACAAGACUCCGUGAAAGACAAGCUAGUUCUUCUUCCUGCCCCGGGAGUCCACUGCAGGCCGAUGCAGACGCAACCACUUCCUCAGCCGCUGUGGCUGAGAGCCCGCCACUGCACUCUGUGGGCUUGGUGCUGGGUAUGGAGAGGAGGGUAUGACAUAGCCCCUGCCCUCAGAGUUUCUUAAGCAGGCCACCGAAGUCCCACAAGACCAAGUGGUGACUUUCCUACGCAUUAUCCCUGCUGUCUCUGGGGACUUCUUAAAUGUCAGCAAUCAUUGUCAUCUUCACUGUUGCCUCCGCAGCCACCGCACAUGGCUGCACCUGGGCCAUCUCCUCUGAUGUAAAGGCCGUGCAGCCAAAAUUUGCAAUUCUUCCCCCAACUUUUAAAAUUGUAGUAAAAUAUAUAUAACAUAAAA
RNAcentral lists this long non-coding RNA (566 nucleotides) under Pan troglodytes (chimpanzee). RNAcentral describes it as "lincRNA". Lineage: Eukaryota; Metazoa; Chordata; Mammalia; Primates; Hominidae. The record is from RNAcentral.